Molecule: ribosomal RNA, 320 nt
Filed under: uncultured eukaryote
Lineage: Eukaryota
Description: partial 18S ribosomal RNA
Rfam family: Eukaryotic small subunit ribosomal RNA
Source: RNAcentral
CCCCUAGAUGUUCUGGGCCGCACGCGCGCUACACUGAACAGUUCAACAAGUCUUAACCUUGGCCGAUAGGUCUGGGUAAUCUUUGAACGCUGUUCGUGAUUGGGAUAGACCUUUGCAAUUAUGGGUCUUCAACGAGGAAUUCCUAGUAAACGCAAGUCAUCAGCUUGCAUUGAUUACGUCCCUGCCCUUUGUACACACCGCCCGUCGCACCUACCGAUUGAAUGGUCCGGUGAAAUCUCGGGACGGCGGCUUGGUCGCUUGCGUCCGACUGCUGAAACUUGAUUAAACCAUAUCAUUUAGAGGAAGGUGUAGUCGUAACA